GGAGACGUGGCCGAGUGGCCGAAGGCAACGCCUUGCUAAGGCGUCGUACGGGUCAAACUGUACCGUGAGUUCGAAUCUCACCGUCUCCGCCA
Molecule: transfer RNA, 92 nt
Filed under: Bacteriovorax sp. MedPE-SWde
Lineage: Bacteria; Pseudomonadati; Bdellovibrionota; Bacteriovoracia; Bacteriovoracales; Bacteriovoracaceae
Description: tRNA-Ser
Rfam family: tRNA
About the family: Transfer RNA (tRNA) molecules are approximately 80 nucleotides in length.
Source: RNAcentral